RNAcentral lists this ribosomal RNA (460 nucleotides) under uncultured bacterium. RNAcentral's name for it is "partial 16S ribosomal RNA". It matches the Rfam family "Bacterial small subunit ribosomal RNA", at positions 338 to 795 of the family's 1533-position model. The record is from RNAcentral.
CCUACGGGGGGCUGCAGUGAGGAAUAUUGGUCAAUGGACGAGAGUCUGAACCAGCCAAGUAGCGUGAAGGAUGACUGCCCUAUGGGUUGUAAACUUCUUUUAUAUGGGAAUAAAACGUUCCACGUGUGGGAUUUUGUAUGUACCAUAUGAAUAAGGAUCGGCUAACUCCGUGCCAGCAGCCGCGGUAAUACGGAGGAUCCGAGCGUUAUCCGGAUUUAUUGGGUUUAAAGGGAGCGUAGGUGGAUUGUUAAGUCAGUUGUGAAAGUUUGCGGCUCAACCGUAAAAUUGCAGUUGAAACUGACAGUCUUGAGUACAGUAGAGGUGGGCGGAAUUCGUGGUGUAGCGGUGAAAUGCUUAGAUAUCACGAAGAACUCCGAUUGCGAAGGCAGUUCACUGGACUGCAACUGACACUGAGGCUCGAAAGUGUGGGUAUCAAACAGGAUUAGAUACCCCUGUAGUC